RNAcentral lists this ribosomal RNA (301 nucleotides) under uncultured bacterium. RNAcentral's name for it is "partial 16S ribosomal RNA". It matches the Rfam family "Bacterial small subunit ribosomal RNA", at positions 509 to 808 of the family's 1533-position model. The record is from RNAcentral.
CAGCCGCCGCGGGGAAUACGGAGGGUGCAAGCGUUAAUCGGAAUUACUGGGCGUAAAGCGCACGCAGGCGGUCUGACAAGUCAGAUGUGAAAUCCCCGGGCUUAACCUGGGAACUGCAUUUGAAACUGUCAGGCUGGAGUCUUGUAGAGGGGGGUGGAAUUCCAGGUGUAGCGGUGAAAUGCGUAGAGAUCUGGAGGAAUACCGGUGGCGAAGGCGGCCCCCUGGACAAAGACUGACGCUCAGGUGCGAAAGCGUGGGGAGCAAACAGGAUUAGAUACCCGCGUAGUCCCUGUCUCUUAUU